This 778-nucleotide ribosomal RNA is filed under the name uncultured Neocallimastigales. RNAcentral describes it as "partial large subunit ribosomal RNA". It matches the Rfam family "Eukaryotic large subunit ribosomal RNA", at positions 24 to 644 of the family's 3401-position model. Lineage: Eukaryota; Fungi; Neocallimastigomycota; Neocallimastigomycetes; Neocallimastigales. The record is from RNAcentral.
UAUCUCUGUAGAGUCUGCAUAUCAAUAAGCGGAGGAAAAGAAACUAACUAGGAUUCCCUCAGUAACGGCGAGUGAAGCGGGAAGAGCUCAAAUUUGAAAUCUUCAAGGUUCUACCUUGACGAAUUGUAGUUUAAAGAAGUGUUUUCUGUUAGAUUUGAGUAGCAAAAGUUCCUUGGAAUAGGGACAUCAUAGAGGGUGAGAAUCCCGUAUUUGGAUCAUUAUUUCCAGCUUUGUGAUACACUUUCAAAGAGUCGGAUUGUUUGGGAAUGCAGUCCAAAAUGGGUGGUAAAUUUCAUCUAAAGCUAAAUAUUGGCGAGAGACCGAUAGCGAACAAGUACCGUGAGGGAAAGAUGAAAAGAACUUUGAAAAGAGAGUUAAACAGUACGUGAAAUUGUCAAAAGGGAAGCGUUUGACACCAGUGUUGUUUUUCCGAAAAUCAAUUACGAAUGGCUUGAUUUUGUGUUGUAUUGACCUUAUCAGCUUUCUUCACUUUUUUCGAGUCUUUCUUAAUGCACUUUUCGGUUAACAAGUCAACAUCAAUUUCUUUUGUUGUAAAAGGGUAUUCGGAAGGUGGCUUUCUUUUCGGAGAAAGUGUUUAUAGCCCUAUACUUCUACAAUCGGAGAGAUUGAGGUCUGCAGCGUAGAUCCUUCGGGGUUAGAUACACUUGUGCUAAGUUGUAGCUUUUCAUAGACAACUUGUUGACUAUGUUUAGUCAUGCGGCUUACUCGCUUGUGCUAUUUUACCUACGCUUAGGAUGUUGACUGAUAUGUAGUCGUA